ACGUGCACCACGUCGCCGCCUUCUACGAGGAUGUACUCUGCUCCGCGCGCGUCCCUUCUCCCUAUGGUUUCCAGGUCGUCUGUCUCCUCCUCACGGGCACCCCCGCCGCCAUGGGCUACUGCACCCAGGGGGUGCGGGUGCCCCGCCCGCGUAGCUGCCCAGGAUACACCACACGGCCUUCUUGAAGCCCGCUUCUGUCACAUCUGCAACAAGGAGGAGCCCACCCUGCCAGCAGCCAAGCUGCAAGCCAUGGUGUCGGUCAAAUGGUGUUCAAAAUAUAAAUGUCGGAGCUGCUACCUCAUUUGCAGCGAUUAAUUUCCCAGUGCUUCUCAUUGAUGAUUUCAGUACACCGGAAAAGAACCAAUCAUUCUCUAACGAGGUACCCACACAGCUGAAUUUUAAUCUAACAUAAUUUCUUAUAUCUGUCCAAGUUUAAGUCCCUGAAUUUAUUCAUGUUUGAUAGGACAUUAUACACACUUAUCACAUGUGUCACUUGCCUUUAAAUCAAAACUCUGUUGCAGUUUUCUUAUUCUAUAUGAGCAUUCAUGAAUCAUGCUUUUCUGAUUGCUUGGGAGUCAACUAAACUUUGAUAUUUAAACAAUCAGAAGUUGUAACUUGCAACACCAUAAAAUUGCACUUUCACUUUUCCAAUUAUACAAGAGAUUCGUCCUUGCUGUGAAUAUAUUUUGCCAGAUGGUACUCCUUUUUCUUUUCUCUAGCCUGACAUACGUCUUUGUGCUGCAGCAUUUUAACAGGGUUUCUAUCAUUUGUGAGACGAAGAAUCAGGAGUACAAAUGGAGAGAAGAAGCAUUUAGGAAAGGCUUCCCUUGCUUACCAACCACGUGAGCGAAACUAAUUUGUCUGAUAAUUUUAAUUUAUUUAGUAAGCCUAUGCAUACAGCCGCACAGACUUGUGCUGCUGAAUCAUACUUGUUUGGUGUGAUCUCUCCCUUCAGAUGAAACAAGAUGAGCAAGAAGAAGUUGAGCUAGAGGCAAAGGUCAACUGACGUGUUUUCUAUGUACCAUGAAGAUAGUAAAACUGAUGCAAUUUUAGUUGCAAUGGUUCUCGGUCAUGUACUAAAAUGGCCAUCUCAUGUUAUGUAACAUUUGAUAUGCAUGCAAGUGGAUCAGAAGGACCCAGAAAAUGGAUACCUUGCUGAAAUCCAUUUUCACCAUUAUAUUCAGAUGUGGGUGUGUAUUGCCAGAUAAAGUUAAUGUUGGCUUUAA
Molecule: long non-coding RNA, 1226 nt
Organism: Triticum aestivum (bread wheat)
Lineage: Eukaryota; Viridiplantae; Streptophyta; Magnoliopsida; Poales; Poaceae
Exons: 3
Source: RefSeq, a predicted model, not a curated record